RNAcentral lists this ribosomal RNA (497 nucleotides) under uncultured bacterium. Its description in RNAcentral is "partial 16S ribosomal RNA". It matches the Rfam family "Bacterial small subunit ribosomal RNA", at positions 28 to 507 of the family's 1533-position model. The record is from RNAcentral.
GAUGAACGCUGGCGGCGUGCCUAAUACAUGCAAGUCGAGCGAACAGACGAGGAGCUUGCUCCUCUGAUGUUAGCGGCGGACGGGUGAGUAACACGUGGAUAACCUACCUAUAAGACUGGGAUAACUUCGGGAAACCGGAGCUAAUACCGGAUAACAUGUUGAACCGCAUGGUUCAACAGUGAAAGACGGUCUUGCUGUCACUUAUAGAUGGAUCCGCGCCGCAUUAGCUAGUUGGUAAGUUAACGGCUUACCACGGCAACGAUGCGUAGCCGACCUGAGAGGGUGAUAGGCCACACUGGAACUGGGACACGGUCCAGACUCCUACGGGAGGGAGCAGACGGGAAUCUUCCGCAAUGGGCGAAAGCCUGACGGAGCAACGCCGCGUGAGUGAAGAAGGUCUUCGGAUCGUAAAACUCUGUUAUUAGGGAAGAACAAAUGUGUAAGUAACUAUGCACGUCUUGACGGUACCUAAUCAGAAAGCCACGGCUAACUACGUG